RNAcentral lists this ribosomal RNA (310 nucleotides) under uncultured Coriobacteriaceae bacterium. RNAcentral's name for it is "partial 16S ribosomal RNA". Lineage: Bacteria; Bacillati; Actinomycetota; Coriobacteriia; Coriobacteriales; Coriobacteriaceae. The record is from RNAcentral.
GGAGUCUGGGCCGUAUCUCAGUCCCAAUGUGGCCGAUCAGCCUCUCAGCUCGGCUACCCAUCAUCGACACGGUGGGCCGUUACCCCGCCGUCUAUCUAAUGGGCCGCGACCCCAUCUCGCACCGUAAAGGCUUUCCCGGGCAGAGCAUGCGCUCAGCUCGGAGUAUCCGGUAUUAACUUAAGUUUCCCUAAGGUAUCCCGGAGUGCGAGGCAGGUUGGUCACGUGUUACUCACCCGUUCGCCACUUUAUGCACCCCGAAGGGCUUUAAUCGUUCGACUUGCAUGUGUUAAGCACGCCGCCAGCGUUCAUC